UCUACGGGAGGCAGCAGUGGGGAAUAUUGCACAAUGGGGGAAACCCUGAUGCAGCGACGCCGCGUGAAGGAAGAAGUAUUUCGGUAUGUAAACUUCUAUCAGCAGGGAAGAAAAUGACGGUACCUGACUAAGAAGCCCCGGCUAACUACGUGCCAGCAGCCGCGGUAAUACGUAGGGGGCAAGCGUUAUCCGGAUUUACUGGGUGUAAAGGGAGCGUAGGCGGUUCAGCAAGUCAGAAGUGAAAGCCCGGGGCUCAACUCCGGGACUGCUUUUGAAACUGUUGAACUAGAGUGCAGGAGAGGUAAGUGGAAUUCCUAGUGUAGCGGUGAAAUGCGUAGAUAUUAGGAGGAACACCAGUGGCGAAGGCGGCUUACUGGACUGUAAAUGACGCUGAGGCUCGAAAGCGUGGGGAGCAAGCAGGAUUAGAUACCCGGGUAGUC
RNAcentral lists this ribosomal RNA (440 nucleotides) under uncultured bacterium. Its description in RNAcentral is "partial 16S ribosomal RNA". It matches the Rfam family "Bacterial small subunit ribosomal RNA", at positions 338 to 795 of the family's 1533-position model. The record is from RNAcentral.